GUUCUAAACUGAAGCACAAGAAGUAAGAUACAAAAUUCCUAAGGUAGAAGAAAAUUUGAUGCCGUUCAUGAUCCACUGCCUAAGGAAUUGUGCCAACCAUGGUAGGCUGGGUCUUUCUACACCAAUCAAUGCAUCUGGAAAAUUUCCCACAGACAUGCCCACAGACCAUCCUGAUCUAUAUUAGGAUUCUCUUCUCUGGUGAUUUUAGAUUGUGUCAUGUGGCAACUAAAACCAUCACACUAGCCAGUUGCUUUUGAGAUGGCUUGGCUUCAUUUCCAGUUGUUCCUAAUCAAGCAAAGAAGGCAAAUGGAUAGAACUAGAAGAAACCAACCCAAGUGAGAUAAACCGGGCACCAAAGACAAGCAAGGAACUUGGUCCAUUGGAAAACCUCAAAUGAUUUGAAGAAAGAAAUUGAAGAAGAUAUCAGAAGACAGGAGGAUCUCCCAUGCUCAUUUAUCU
Mesocricetus auratus (golden hamster) is the source of this 459-nucleotide long non-coding RNA. RefSeq lists it as uncharacterized. The transcript has 4 exons. Lineage: Eukaryota; Metazoa; Chordata; Mammalia; Rodentia; Cricetidae. The record is from RefSeq and is a predicted model, not a curated record.